Molecule: ribosomal RNA, 253 nt
Filed under: uncultured bacterium
Lineage: Bacteria
Description: partial 16S ribosomal RNA
Rfam family: Bacterial small subunit ribosomal RNA
Source: RNAcentral
UACGUAGGGUGCAAGCGUUGUCCGGAAUUAUUGGGCGUAAAGAGCUCGUAGGCGGUUUGUCGCGUCUGCUGUGAAAACCCGAGGCUCAACCUCGGGCCUGCAGUGGGUACGGGCAGACUAGAGUGCGGUAGGGGAGAUUGGAAUUCCUGGUGUAGCGGUGGAAUGCGCAGAUAUCAGGAGGAACACCGAUGGCGAAGGCAGGUCUCUGGGCCACUACUGACGCUGAGAAGCGAAAGCAUGGGGAGCAAACAGG